GAUGAAUGCUGGCGGCGUGCUUAACACACGCAAGUCGAGCGGCAGCGCGAGUAGUUUACUACUUGGCGGCGAGCGGCGGACGGGUGAGUAAUGCCUGGGAAAUUGCCCAGUCGAGGGGGAUAACAGUUGGAAACGACUGCUAAUACCGCAUACGCCCUACGGGGGAAAGCAGGGGAGCUUCGGGCCUUGCGGGAUUGGAUAUGCCCAGGUGGGAUUAGCCAGUUGGUGAGGUAAUGGCUCACCAAGGCGCCGAUCCCUAGCUGGGCUGAGAGGAUGAGCAGCCAGGCUGGAACUGAGACACGUGCGAGCAUCCUACGGGAGGCAGAAGUGGGGAAUAUUGCACAAUGGGGGAAACCCUGAUGCAGCCAUGCCGCGUGUGUGAAGAAGGCCUUCGGGUUGUAAAGCACUUUCAGCGAGGAGGAAAGGUUGAUGCCUAAUACGUAUCAACUGUGACGUUACUCGCAGAAGAAGCACCGGCUAACUCCGUGCCAGCCGCCGCCGUAA
Molecule: ribosomal RNA, 504 nt
Filed under: uncultured bacterium
Lineage: Bacteria
Description: partial 16S ribosomal RNA
Rfam family: Bacterial small subunit ribosomal RNA
Source: RNAcentral